RNAcentral lists this ribosomal RNA (243 nucleotides) under uncultured bacterium. RNAcentral describes it as "partial 16S ribosomal RNA". It matches the Rfam family "Bacterial small subunit ribosomal RNA", at positions 15 to 236 of the family's 1533-position model. The record is from RNAcentral.
GAUCAUGGCUCAGGACGAACGCUGGCGGCGUGCCUAACACAUGCAAGUCGAACGGAGAUAUGUUUUGGAAGGGCUUCGGUCUGGAAGAGAUAUAUUUUAGUGGCGGACGGGUGAGUAACGCGUGGGCAAUCUGCCUUGUAGAAAGGGAUAACAGGCCGAAAGGCUUGCUAAUACCGGAUGAGCUUGUCUAAUCGCAUGAUAAGACAAGGAAAGGGGAAACCCGGCUACAAGAUGAGCCUGCGU